This is a long non-coding RNA of Solanum stenotomum, 594 nucleotides long. RefSeq lists it as uncharacterized. The record is from RefSeq and is a predicted model, not a curated record. Lineage: Eukaryota; Viridiplantae; Streptophyta; Magnoliopsida; Solanales; Solanaceae. The transcript has 3 exons.
AAAAAAAAGGGACUCUUCUUGUUCUAUAGUGAGCAAACGAACGAAGGAGAAACAUAAAUUUAAAUUGAAAGCCUUAGCUCUCGAACUAAAGAGAGAGGUGGAAGAAGAAGAAGAACGAGAAGAAGAUUGACCAAAGGAAUUCGUACGGAGUAAUUGAGUGGCAAGCUUGGUAACUCAACACAAGUACUAGAAUUCAAGUGGUAUUGAAGAGGAUUUCAUUAACUAGCGUGUGAGUUAGUAGCAUCUGGUGAGCCCCGCAUUGCUUCGUGUGGCAAGAGAACUAUUGAUUUGUUAUGUUUAUUUAGUUUCUUUUAAAAACUCUUAGAAUUGCUCCAUUUGUCAUUCUUUUGAUUUGAGUCAAGAUUAGUCCUUCGAAUUGUAGUCAAGUGACUAGUUUGGAAUUUUUUUUCCGUAAUUUGGAGAUGAAUUGGUUUUUAUUGCGUGACAAUUUGAUCAUUGAUGGAUAUUAAAUGGUGGUUUAUAGUUGCUAUUAGUUGUGUUGUGAAAUUCUGAGACAGGAAAAAUCCAGGAUAGGCCUAAAAACAAAGGAAACUCUGCCCGAUUUUCUGUAGAAUUCUGGUGAGGCUUGCUUUG